GUCAUGAAAUCUCUAUUAAGAUGUGAGAAAAAAUUUUCGAUUUAUAUGAAGGGCAGGUUUCAUUAUUUGUACAGCUUUUGUUAUGAGGCUUGAGGCUGGGGGAGGGGAAAGAAGAGGAAAAAGGAGAAACGCUAGAAAGAGGGGAAAGAGAAGAGAAGAAAAUAAAAAUGGGAAGAAGAGUGGAAGCUGAGCAGUUGGGACAACCGGGAACCUGCUAAGAUGAACCCUUUAAGGUGAAGCUGACCAGCGAGCUGAAUGAGCGAGAGGUCCAGCUUGGGGUGCCGGAUAAGGUGUCCUGGCACUCCGAGUACAAGGACAGCGCCUGGGUCUUCCUGGGAGGGCUUCCUUAUGAAUUGACUGAAGGCGACAUCAUCUGUGUUUUCUCACAGUAUGGGGAGAUUGUUAACAUUAAUCUCGUGCGGGACCAGACGACCGGGAAGUCCAAAGGAUUGCUUCCUCUGCUAUGAAGACCAGGGAAGCACAAUUCUGGCCGUUGACAAUUUUAAUGGAAUCAAGAUUAAAGGGCGGUCUUAGCGGGUUGGAAUCAUGGCGGCCACGGCCACGAUGGCGACCUCGGGCUGGGCGCGGAAGCGGCUGCUCAAAGAGGAAGACAUGACCAAAGUGGAAUUCGAGACCAGCAAGGAGGUGGACGUGACCCCCACGUUCGACUCUAUGGGCCUGCGGGAGGACCUGCUGCGCGGCAUCUACGCCUACGGUUUUGAAAACCCUUCAGCGAUCCAACAGCGAGCUACCAAGCAGAUAAUUAAAGGGAGAGACGUCAUCGCACAGUCUCAGUCUGGCACAGGUAAAACAGCCACCUUCAGUAUUUCAGUCCUUCAGUGCUUGGAUAUUCAGGUUCCUGACACCCAGGCUCUGAUCUUGGCCCCCACGCGAGAGCUGGCCGUGCAGAUCCAGAAGGGCCUGCUUGCUCUCGGCGACUACAUGAACAUCCAGUGCCACGCCUGCAUCAGGGGCACCAAUGUGGGCGAGGACAUCAGGAAGCUGGAUUACGGACAGCACGUCGUCGCAGGCACACCAGGGCGCGUCUUUGAUGUGAUUCGUCGAAGAAGUUUAAGGACACGAGCUAUCAAGAUGUUGGUUUGGGAUGAGGCUGAUGAAAUGUUGACUAAAGGUUUCAAAGAGCAGAUUUAUGACGUGUACAGGUACCUGCCUCCGGCCACACAGGUGGUCCUUAUCAGUGCCACGCUGCCCCGUGAAAUCCUGGAAAUGACCACCAAGUUCAUGACGGACCCAAUCCGCAUCCUGGUAAGACGUGAUGAGUUGACUCUGGAAGGCAUCAGACAGUUUUUUGUGGCAGUGGAAAGAGAAGAGUGGAAGUUUGACACCCUGUGUGAUCUCUACGACACACUGACCAUCGCGCAGGCGGUCAUCUUCUGUAACACCAAGUGGAAGGUUGACUGGCUGACAGAGAAGAUGAGAGAAGCCAAUGUCACCGUGUCCUCGAUGCACGGAGACAUGCCGCAGAAGGAGCGGAGUCCAUCGUGAAGGAGGUCCGGGCCGGCGCCAGCCGCGUGCUCAUCUCCACAGACGUCUGGGCCAGGGGCUUGGAUGUCCCGCAGGUGUCCCUCAUCAUUAACUACGACCUGCCCAAUAACAGAGAGUUGUACAUACACAGAAUUGGGAGAUCAGGUCGAUAUGGUCGACAGGGUGUGGCCAUUAAUUUUGUAAAGAACGACGACAUCCGCAUCCUCCGAGAUACUGAACAGUACUGCUCCACUCAGAUGGAUGAAACGCCUGUGGACGCUGCCGAUCUGAGCUGAAGACACAGUCCCGCUGUGCUGAAGAUGGG
Microcebus murinus (gray mouse lemur) is the source of this 1810-nucleotide non-coding RNA. Lineage: Eukaryota; Metazoa; Chordata; Mammalia; Primates; Cheirogaleidae. The record is from RefSeq and is a predicted model, not a curated record.